UACGAAGGGGGCUAGCGUUGCUCGGAAUCACUGGGCGUAAAGCGCACGUAGGCGGAUUGUUAAGUCAGGGGUGAAAUCCUGGAGCUCAACUCCAGAACUGCCUUUGAUACUGACGAUCUCGAGUCCGGGAGAGGUGAGUGGAACUGCGAGUGUAGAGGUGAAAUUCGUAGAUAUUCGCAAGAACACCAGUGGCGAAGGCGGCGCACUGGCCCGGUACUGACGCUGAGGUGCGAAAGCGUGGGGAGCAAACAGG
This 253-nucleotide ribosomal RNA is filed under the name uncultured bacterium. RNAcentral's name for it is "partial 16S ribosomal RNA". It matches the Rfam family "Bacterial small subunit ribosomal RNA", at positions 524 to 776 of the family's 1533-position model. The record is from RNAcentral.